GGUUCCGUAGCUCAACUGAAUAGAGCACUUGACUACGGAUCAAGAGGUUACAGGUUUGAAUCCUGUCGGAAUCACAA
Molecule: transfer RNA, 77 nt
Filed under: Prevotella melaninogenica
Lineage: Bacteria; Pseudomonadati; Bacteroidota; Bacteroidia; Bacteroidales; Prevotellaceae
Also listed under: 9 other names
Description: tRNA-Arg
Rfam family: tRNA
About the family: Transfer RNA (tRNA) molecules are approximately 80 nucleotides in length.
Source: RNAcentral